AACAAACUGAAACAAUGUUGACUCUUCCUACUUGGUAAAAAAGUUAGAUAAUGUUUUUCGAAAUGAAUAAUCGAAACAAGCCAUUAUAUAGUGAUGUGAACGGUGAUUUUGAUCGAACUGGAGUGUUAGAAAGCCGUGAAAAAGAUGAUGAAUCCGAUACGAAACCGCGCUGCAAAGGAAGCUGCUGUGAAAAAACUACAAGUCGACAAAGGGGCCACCAGAAUUGUGGUUACUGGAAGCGGAGCACAAUUCUACGUUUCCUCACGGAUUCAAGAUCCAAGGUGCAAGUUCCAUAAUCGAAACGUCACGUCGCGUCGUUUACUGAUACGAAACCAGAUAAAAAAAUAAGGAUAAACCAAUUUCGACGUCAUAAAUUUGGUAUGCGGAAUUGUGGACCCUUAUAUUUUGACAGCAUCUAGCAUAAAGACACAGAAGAAAGAUUCUUUAUAAAAGCUGAAGAGAAAUUUUUUAAACUGUAUCCGAAGUUUUGAAAGUGAAAGUUCCAAAAGCAGUUGAAAUAUUUGUCAAGUAAAAACAUAAUAAAAAAAAAUCAACUUAUAUUUUUAUAUUCUGCCACAAGUCAAAUACUUCAU
Uranotaenia lowii is the source of this 593-nucleotide long non-coding RNA. RefSeq lists it as uncharacterized. NCBI's taxonomy places the organism in Eukaryota, Metazoa, Arthropoda, Insecta, Diptera, Culicidae. The record is from RefSeq and is a predicted model, not a curated record. The transcript has 3 exons.